Molecule: ribosomal RNA, 478 nt
Filed under: uncultured bacterium
Lineage: Bacteria
Description: partial 16S ribosomal RNA
Rfam family: Bacterial small subunit ribosomal RNA
Source: RNAcentral
GACGAACGCUGGCGGCGUGCUUAACACAUGCAAGUCGAACGGUAAGGCCCUUCGGGGUACACGAGUGGCGAACGGGUGAGUAACACGUGGGUGAUCUGCCCUGCACUUCGGGAUAAGCCUGGGAAACUGGGUCUAAUACCGGAUAGGACCCUGGGAUGCAUGUCCUGGGGUGGAAAGCUUUUGCGGUGUGGGAUGGGCCCGCGGCCUAUCAGCUUGUUGGUGGGGUGAUGGCCUACCAAGGCGACGACGGGUAGCCGGCCUGAGAGGGUGACCGGCCACACUGGGACUGAGAUACGGCCCAGACUCCUACGGGAGGCAGCAGUGGGGAAUAUUGCACAAUGGGCGCAAGCCUGAUGCAGCGACGCCGCGUGAGGGAUGACGGCCUUCGGGUUGUAAACCUCUUUCAGCACCGACGAAACGCAAGUGACGGUAGGUGCAGAAGAAGGACCGGCCAACUACGUGCCAGCAGCCGCGGUAA